RNAcentral lists this transfer RNA (73 nucleotides) under Aspergillus tubingensis. Its description in RNAcentral is "tRNA-Ser". It matches the Rfam family "tRNA". From Rfam's summary of the family: Transfer RNA (tRNA) molecules are approximately 80 nucleotides in length. Their secondary structure includes four short double-helical elements and three loops (D, anti-codon, and T loops). Further hydrogen bonds mediate the characteristic L-shaped molecular structure. tRNAs have two regions of fundamental functional importance: the anti-codon, which is responsible for specific mRNA codon recognition, and the 3' end, to which the tRNAs corresponding amino acid is attached (by aminoacyl-tRNA synthetases). tRNAs cope with the degeneracy of the genetic code in two manners: having more than one tRNA (with a specific anti-codon) for a particular amino acid; and 'wobble' base-pairing, i.e. permitting non-standard base-pairing at the 3rd anti-codon position. The record is from RNAcentral. Lineage: Eukaryota; Fungi; Ascomycota; Eurotiomycetes; Eurotiales; Aspergillaceae.
GUCUCGGUGGCGCAAUUGGUAAGCUUUCACAUCCGAAAUCGUGAGGUUGAGAGUUCGAUCCUCUCCCGGGACG